RNAcentral lists this ribosomal RNA (259 nucleotides) under uncultured bacterium. RNAcentral's name for it is "partial 16S ribosomal RNA". It matches the Rfam family "Bacterial small subunit ribosomal RNA", at positions 15 to 257 of the family's 1533-position model. The record is from RNAcentral.
GAUCCUGGCUCAGGAUGAACGCUGGCGGCGUGCUUAACACAUGCAAGUCGAACGGGAAUUACUUUAUUGAAACUUCGGUCGAUUUAAUUUAAUUCUAGUGGCGGACGGGUGAGUAACGCGUGGGUAACCUGCCUUAUACAGGGGGAUAACAGUCAGAAAUGACUGCUAAUACCGCAUAAGCGCACAGGACCGCAUGGUCUGGUGUGAAAAACUCCGGUGGUAUAAGAUGGACCCGCGUUGGAUUAGCUGGUUGGUGGGG